GGACUACCGGGGUAUCUAAUCCUUUUUGCUCCCCAUACUUUCGAGCCUGAGCGUCGGAUCUCGUCCAGCCGGCUGCCUUCGCCGUUGGUGUUCCUCUUGAUAUCUACGCAUUUCACUGCUCCACCAAGAAUUCCACCGGCCCCUCCGAGUCCCUAGAAUCGCAGUUUCAGACGCAGUCCGGGAGUUGAGCCCCCGGGUUUCACAUCCGACACACGAUUCCGCCUGCGCUCCCUUUACGCCCAGUGAAUCCGAGUAACGCUUGCAGUCUCUGUAUUACCGCGGCUGCUGGCAC
This 292-nucleotide ribosomal RNA is filed under the name uncultured bacterium. RNAcentral's name for it is "partial 16S ribosomal RNA". RNAcentral also lists the same sequence under 1 other name. The record is from RNAcentral.